This is a transfer RNA of Ovis aries (sheep), 72 nucleotides long. It matches the Rfam family "tRNA". Rfam says of the family: Transfer RNA (tRNA) molecules are approximately 80 nucleotides in length. Their secondary structure includes four short double-helical elements and three loops (D, anti-codon, and T loops). Further hydrogen bonds mediate the characteristic L-shaped molecular structure. tRNAs have two regions of fundamental functional importance: the anti-codon, which is responsible for specific mRNA codon recognition, and the 3' end, to which the tRNAs corresponding amino acid is attached (by aminoacyl-tRNA synthetases). tRNAs cope with the degeneracy of the genetic code in two manners: having more than one tRNA (with a specific anti-codon) for a particular amino acid; and 'wobble' base-pairing, i.e. permitting non-standard base-pairing at the 3rd anti-codon position. The record is from Rfam. Lineage: Eukaryota; Metazoa; Chordata; Mammalia; Artiodactyla; Bovidae.
UCCCUUGUAGCUCAGUUGGUAAAGAAUCUGCCUGCAAUGGAGGAGACCCAGGUUCAAUUCCUGGGUUGGGAA